GACCAUGUCCAUAUGGCAAGC
This 21-nucleotide non-coding RNA is filed under the name Arabidopsis thaliana (thale cress). The record is from RNAcentral. Lineage: Eukaryota; Viridiplantae; Streptophyta; Magnoliopsida; Brassicales; Brassicaceae.